Molecule: long non-coding RNA, 1409 nt
Organism: Anolis carolinensis (green anole)
Lineage: Eukaryota; Metazoa; Chordata; Lepidosauria; Squamata; Anolidae
Exons: 2
Source: RefSeq, a predicted model, not a curated record
UGUUAUGGAGUUAAUAAGAACCUGCUUUGAUUGAUGUGUCACAGGACCAAUGGGGUCAAGUUUGUUUGACCGGGACUUCCUUCUUAGUCAGUGGAAUGCAGGGGAGUGUUGUCUGUUAGUGUGUGUGUUCGGCGUGAGCAUUCUCUGGAGAUGGACUAUGAAUGCUAUGCUCUGAAGCCAGGAAAUGCAACUGUAAAUAGUUAUGUAAAUAAAGUUUAACAACAGUUGGAUUUUCAACUGACCCCUUCGCCUGCUGGAGUGUUUGUUUGACCAGUGCUGAUUCUCCGCAUGGGAAGACAGCCUGGAGAACGAGGUUUCACAUUCUUACAGAGACACCAUGUAUUGCAUAGUACUGAUGAUAUAAGCACACCUCAGUAAGCAACGUUUUGUAAAAUUUUCUCAUGCCUACCCAGUUCAUCUCAUAUUCUUUGCAUGAGGAAGCUCUUGGAAGAGGAACUGGAAAAACACAGACUUUUGACAUAAGGAUGCAUCAUUCUGCCUGCAGUAAAUAAUGCUAUUGUUAGGUAAGGGGAGCAGGAAAGUGUUCAUGAAUCUGAGGGUGAGUUGGAAUCUGAGGAGGAGAUUUUGCAAGUACCCACAUUUCAGGAAAGGCGAAAGGAAACAGAGCAGAGAUGUCAUUCAGCUAGAAUAGCUGCCAGAAAUGCAGCAGAGUAAUUAGGAACUGCCCUAGCAUCUGUGAGGGGACUCAGGGCUAUAAAGCAGAAGCAGGUGCAGCCAGCUCUUGCUGGUAACAAACUGACUCUUUGCUUCCCUUGUGCCUGCUUCAAGUCUGCAUCUGGGAAACUGCUCCUAAGGAUUUAUUGCUGUUUCUUUGUCUGAAGUAAGACUGCUAUUUGAUUUGGAAAUUUAACAGAGACUAAGAACUGUGUUUACCCUAAGACUUCCUUGCUUCCUUUUGCAUUAUCCCACUGAGUGUGAUGUACUUUAUGUUUUGCUGAAGUAAAGCAGUUUUCAUUUACUUACCACAGUGUUUUAAGGUUGUUCUUGAAAGACAAAACAGGACAGCUAUAAAGCUUGAGCUGGGAAAGGGCAGGAUUCACCUCUACUCAGUCCUGUCAUAGCUGUAUGUGCCUAUGUAUCACAGUCAAGGUUAACAGCAGCUGCCCUCAAGAUGUCUUUUUGAGUUCAUAUGAACAGCAAAAGAAAGGAAAGGGUGAAACAGACAACUCCUCUUCACCAGCUAACCCCAGCAUGUUGGACAAAGAUUGAGAAAAACAGAGGCUGAUGAAAGAAAAAGUGGUAUUGUACUUGGGUGUAUUUUGGAAGAAGCUUUCAAGUGGUCUCUAGAAGGUUCAAAUGCUUUUUGCUUAUGUAAGACUUACCUGGUCUACCUAUUUCAUUUCACAUACAUGCUGUAUUCAAUAAAAAUCUGAAACACAUUGAAUUUA